This 465-nucleotide ribosomal RNA is filed under the name Vreelandella stevensii. Its description in RNAcentral is "partial 16S ribosomal RNA". It matches the Rfam family "Bacterial small subunit ribosomal RNA", at positions 338 to 795 of the family's 1533-position model. The record is from RNAcentral. Lineage: Bacteria; Pseudomonadati; Pseudomonadota; Gammaproteobacteria; Oceanospirillales; Halomonadaceae.
CCUACGGGGGGCUGCAGUGGGGAAUAUUGGACAAUGGGGGCAACCCUGAUCCAGCCAUGCCGCGUGUGUGAAGAAGGCCCUCGGGUUGUAAAGCACUGUCAGUGAGGAAGAACGCCUGGUGGUUAAUACCCAUCAGGAAAGACAUCACUCACAGAAGAAGCACCGGCUAACUCCGUGCCAGCAGCCGCGGGAAUACGGAGGGUGCGAGCGUUAAUCGGAAUUACUGGGCGUAAAGCGCGCGUAGGUGGCUUGAUAAGCCGGUUGUGAAAGCCCCGGGCUCAACCUGGGAACGGCAUCCGGAACUGUCAAGCUAGAGUGCAGGAGAGGAAGGUAGAAUUCCCGGUGUAGCGGUGAAAUGCGUAGAGCUCGGGAGGAAUACCAGUGGCGAAGGCGGCCUUCUGGACUGACACUGACACUGAGGUGCGAAAGCGUGGGUAGCAAACAGGAUUAGAUACCCGUGUAGUC